Molecule: ribosomal RNA, 1473 nt
Filed under: Staphylococcus aureus
Lineage: Bacteria; Bacillati; Bacillota; Bacilli; Caryophanales; Staphylococcaceae
Description: bacterial SSU rRNA
Rfam family: Bacterial small subunit ribosomal RNA
Source: RNAcentral
GCGGCGCGGGUCACUAUAAUGCAGUCGAGCGAACGAGACGAGUAAGCUUGCUUCUCUGAUGUUAGCGGCGGACGGGUGAGUAACACGUGGAUAACCUACCUAUAAGACUGGGAUAACUUCGGGAAACCGGAGCUAAUACCGGAUAAUAUUUUGAACCGCAUGGUUCAAAAGUGAAAGACGGUCUUGCUGUCACUUAUAGAUGGAUCCGCGCUGCAUUAGCUAGUUGGUAAGGUAACGGCUUACCAAGGCAACGAUGCAUAGCCGACCUGAGAGGGUGAUCGGCCACACUGGAACUGAGACACGGUCCAGACUCCUACGGGAGGCAGCAGUAGGGAAUCUUCCGCAAUGGGCGAAAGCCUGACGGAGCAACGCCGCGUGAGUGAAGAAUGGUUCCUUCGGAUUCGUAAAACUCUGGUAGUAGGGAAAGAACCAUAUGUGUAAGUAACUGUUGCACAUCCUGACCGGGUACCUAAAUCAAGAAAAAGGCCACCGGCUAACUACGUGCCAGCAGCCCGCGGUAAUACGUAGGUGGCAAGCGUUAUCCGGGAAUUAUUUGGGCGUAAAGCGCGCGUAGGCGGUUUUUUUUAAGUCUGAUGUGAAAGCCCACGGCUCAACCCGUGGAGGGUCAUUGGAAACUGGAAAACUUGAGUGCAGAAGAGGAAAGUGGAAUUCCAUGUGUAGCGGUGAAAUGCGCAGAGAUAUGGAGGAACACCAGUGGCGAAGGCGACUUUCUGGUCUGUAACUGACGCUGAUGUGCGAAAGCGUGGGGAUCAAACAGGAUUAGAUACCCUGGUAGUCCACGCCGUAAACGAUGAGUGCUAAGUGUUAGGGGGUUUCCGCCCCUUAGUGCUGCAGCUAACGCAUUAAGCACUCCGCCUGGGGAGUACGACCGCAAGGUUGAAACUCAAAGGAAUUGACGGGGACCCGCACAAGCGGUGGAGCAUGUGGUUUAAUUCGAAGCAACGCGAAGAACCUUACCAAAUCUUGACAUCCUUUGACAACUCUAGAGAUAGAGCCUUCCCCUUCGGGGGACAAAGUGACAGGUGGUGCAUGGUUGUCGUCAGCUCGUGUCGUGAGAUGUUGGGUUAAGUCCCGCAACGAGCGCAACCCUUAAGCUUAGUUGCCAUCAUUAAGUUGGGCACUCUAAGUUGACUGCCGGUGACAAACCGGAGGAAGGUGGGGAUGACGUCAAAUCAUCAUGCCCCUUAUGAUUUGGGCUACACACGUGCUACAAUGGACAAUACAAAGGGCAGCGAAACCGCGAGGUCAAGCAAAUCCCAUAAAGUUGUUCUCAGUUCGGAUUGUAGUCUGCAACUCGACUACAUGAAGCUGGAAUCGCUAGUAAUCGUAGAUCAGCAUGCUACGGUGAAUACGUUCCCGGGUCUUGUACACCCCGCCCGUCACACCACGAGAGUUUGUAACACCCGAAGCCGGGGACUCGGCCUCGCAGCGCCUCUCCGCGCCAGCUGAUGC